This 253-nucleotide ribosomal RNA is filed under the name uncultured bacterium. Its description in RNAcentral is "partial 16S ribosomal RNA". It matches the Rfam family "Bacterial small subunit ribosomal RNA", at positions 524 to 776 of the family's 1533-position model. The record is from RNAcentral.
UACGUAGGGUGCAAGCGUUGUCCGGAAUCAUUGGGCGUAAAGAGCGCGUAGGCGGUCCGGUAAGUCCGCUCUGAAAGCCCGGGGCUCAACCCCGGGAGGCGGGCGGAUACUGUCGGGCUAGAGUCCGGAAGAGGCGAGUGGAAUUCCUGGUGUAGCGGUGAAAUGCGCAGAUAUCAGGAGGAACACCGAUGGCGAAGGCAGCUCGCUGGAACGGUACUGACGCUGAGACGCGAAAGCGUGGGGAGCAAACAGG